CAGAGGGUGCAAACGUUGUUCGGAAUUACUGGGCGUAAAGCGAGUGUAGGCGGUUCGAUAAGUCGGAUGUGAAAGCCCCGGGCUCAACCCGGGAAGUGCACUCGAUACUGUCGAGCUAGAGUAUCGGAGAGGUUGGUGGAAUUCUCGGUGUAGAGGUGAAAUUCGUAGAUAUCGAGAGGAACACCGGUGGCGAAGGCGGCCAACUGGACGAAUACUGACGCUGAGACUCGAAAGCGUGGGGAGCAAACAGGAUUAGAUACCCUGGUAGUCCACGCCGUAAACGAUGGGUGCUAGGUGUCGCGGGCUUUGACUCCUGCGGUGCCGUAGCUAACGCAUUAAGCACCCCGCCUGGGAAGUACGGCCGCAAGGCUA
RNAcentral lists this ribosomal RNA (372 nucleotides) under uncultured organism. RNAcentral describes it as "bacterial SSU rRNA". It matches the Rfam family "Bacterial small subunit ribosomal RNA", at positions 526 to 896 of the family's 1533-position model. The record is from RNAcentral.